RNAcentral lists this ribosomal RNA (253 nucleotides) under uncultured bacterium. RNAcentral describes it as "partial 16S ribosomal RNA". It matches the Rfam family "Bacterial small subunit ribosomal RNA", at positions 524 to 776 of the family's 1533-position model. The record is from RNAcentral.
UACAGAGGUGGCAAGCGUUGUUCGGAAUUACUGGGCGUAAAGGGCGCGUAGGCGGCCUUCUAAGUCAGACGUGAAAUCCCCCGGCUUAACCUGGGAACUGCGUCUGAUACUGGAAGGCUUGAGCGCGGGAGAGGGAUGUGGAAUUCCAGGUGUAGCGGUGAAAUGCGUAGAUAUCUGGAGGAACACCGAUGGCGAAGGCAGCCCCCUGGGUCAACACUGACGCUCAUGCACGAAAGCGUGGGGAGCAAACAGG